UGCUUCAAAUUCUUCCGAGCAAAAUAAGCCAUGGGCUCCAAGAAGGUCAUGUUUGUGUUCCUCUCUUUCCUCCUCUUUGUAUCUUUAGCUCAUGCGGGCAAGCCCGGACCUUUGGAUCAGAACAGCACAAAUCAUGAGGAUGUGAAGAAGCUGGCUGAGAGUAGUGCAGAAGGAUGUGAGGGAGCAGGGGAGGAGGACACUGAGUGCUUGCUGAGAAGAACACUAUCGGCACACACUGACUACAUCUACACCCAGGAGGAACAUAAUUAAGAGUUAAGAUGAAGAUUAAGGCAGCAUAAAUUCCAGGGAUUAGUGAUAGCUUUUUAUAUAUGACUAUGUAUGUAUAUAUGUUUGUACAGUCCGUGUCUUGAAUAAAACGGGUGUGAAUACACAAGUAUAUGAUUUACUAUCGGAUUAUUGUAAAUUAAUUGAGGACAGAUCCUCUGGAUCAGUUUUUA
Molecule: long non-coding RNA, 458 nt
Organism: Zingiber officinale
Lineage: Eukaryota; Viridiplantae; Streptophyta; Magnoliopsida; Zingiberales; Zingiberaceae
Exons: 2
Source: RefSeq, a predicted model, not a curated record